Molecule: ribosomal RNA, 738 nt
Filed under: uncultured bacterium
Lineage: Bacteria
Description: bacterial SSU rRNA
Rfam family: Bacterial small subunit ribosomal RNA
Source: RNAcentral
GCUACCAUGCAGUCGGGCGAAGAAGCUCCUCCGGGAGUGGAUUAGCGGCGGACGGGUGAGUAACACGUGGGCAACCUGCCUCAAAGAGGGGGAUAGCCUCCCGAAAGGGAGAUUAAUACCGCAUAAAAGGUAAAUAUCGCAUGAUAAAUACCUUAAAGGAGAAAUCCGCUUUGAGAUGGGCCCGCGUCGCAUUAGCUAGUUGGUGGGAUAACAGCCCACCAAGGCGACGAUGCGUAGCCGACCUGAGAGGGUGAACGGCCACAUUGGAACUGAGAGACGGUCCAGACUCCUACGGGAGGCAGCAGUGGGGAAUAUUGCACAAUGGGGGAAACCCUGAUGCAGCAACGCCGCGUGAGUGAAGAAGGUUUUCGGAUCGUAAAGCUCUGUCAUCCGGGACGAUAAUGACGGUACCGGAAGAGGAAGCCACGGCUAACUACGUGCCAGCAGCCGCGGUAAUACGUAGGUGGCGAGCGUUGUCCGGAAUUACUGGGCGUAAAGGGUGUGCAGGCGGAUAUUUAAGUGAGAUGUGAAAGACCCGGGCUUAACCCGGGCAGUGCAUUUCAAACUGGAUAUCUAGAGUGCAGGAGAGGAGAACGGAAUUCCUAGUGUAGCGGUGAAAUGCGUAGAGAUUAGGAAGAACACCAGUGGCGAAGGCGGUUCUCUGGACUGUAACUGACGCUGAGGCACGAAAGCGUGGGUAGCAAACAGGAUUAGAUACCCUGGUAGUCCACGCCGUAA